GGGCCAGACUGUGAUAGUCAUGAGCGGAGGUAAGCUUAGUGCUAUCUCUUUGUUCUCUUUGUUUUCUUUGUAAUUGAAGAGUAAUAGAUAGUUUCUGAAUACUAUGAAGUGAAUCUUUGGAAUAAAUCAAAGAUUAAUUUAUAUGAUAUUGAGUAUGUAAUUAGAGUACUAUGUGAUUGAAUUAUUAUGAGAAGAUAUUGGAAGUUUGUUAUCAGAUUUUGUAGAAGAUUGUUUUUGGAUGGAAGAUUAUGAUUGUUAUUAAUUGAGAGUUAUGUGUGUUUUGACAAAAGAAGUCUAUGAUUACAAAAAUUAUAUGAAGCAAGAUUGGUUGGAGUGGAAGACUAUUAUUUCCAGUGUUGGAUGGAAUUUGUGUGUUUUGAGUGGUCUUUUGAGAGAUCAAGAUUACAUGUUUUUGUUACCAGUUGAUGAAAGAGUAUUA
This 439-nucleotide long non-coding RNA is filed under the name Physcomitrium patens. RNAcentral's name for it is "long non-coding RNA (PPAT_LNC012164)". The record is from RNAcentral. Lineage: Eukaryota; Viridiplantae; Streptophyta; Bryopsida; Funariales; Funariaceae.